UCAGGGGUGAAAGUCGGUUGCUCAACAAUCGAAUGGCCUUUGAAACUGUGUGGCUCGAGUAUAGAUGAGGUAGGCGGAAUGUGUAGUGUAGCGGUGAAAUGCAUAGAUAUUACACAGAACCCCAAUUGCGAAGGCAGCUUACCAAACUAUUACUGACGCUGAAGCACGAAAGCGUGGGUAGCGAACAGGAUUAGAUACCCUGGUAGUCCACGCCGUAAACUAUGCUCACUCGCUGUUGGCAAUAGAUCGUCAGCGGCUAAGGGAAACCGAUAAGUGAGCCACCUGGGGAGUACGAUCGCAAGAUUGAAACUCAAAGGAAUUGACGGGGGCCCGCACAAGCGGAGGAACAUGUGGUUUAAUUCGAUGAUACGCGAGGAACCUUACCUGGGCUUAAAUGUAGAGUGCAUAAAGUGGAAACAUUUUUUUCCUUCGGGACUCUUUACAAGGUGCUGCAUGGUUGUCGUCAGCUCGUGCCGUGAGGUGUCGGGUUAAGUCCCAUAACGAGCGCAACCCCUAUCGUUAGUUACCAGCACGUAUUGGUGGGGACUCUAGCGAAACUGCCGGUGUAAACCGUGAGGAAGGUGGGGAUGACGUCAAAUCAGCACGGCCCUUAUGUCCAGGGCUACACACGUGUUACAAUGGUCGGUACAGUGGGCAGCCACAUAGCAAUAUGGAGCUAAUCUCAAAAGCCGAUCUCAGUUCGGAUUGGAGUCUGCAACCCGACUCCAUGAAGGUGGAUUCGCUAGUAAUCGCGCAUCAGCCAUGGCGCGGUGAUACGUUCCCGGGCCUUGUACACACCGCCCGUCAAGCCAUGGAAGUUUGGGGUGCCUGAAGUUCGUAACCGCAAGGAGCGACCUAGGGUAAACAAAUGACUGGGCUAAGUCGUCACAAG
RNAcentral lists this ribosomal RNA (892 nucleotides) under uncultured organism. RNAcentral's name for it is "bacterial SSU rRNA". It matches the Rfam family "Bacterial small subunit ribosomal RNA", at positions 588 to 1495 of the family's 1533-position model. The record is from RNAcentral.